GCUCCAGUGGCGUAAUGGCAGCCGCGCCGCACUCAAAAUGCGGUGUCCGUAGGACGUGCGAGUUCGAGUCUCGCCUGGAGUA
RNAcentral lists this transfer RNA (82 nucleotides) under Mycobacterium phage Myrna. It matches the Rfam family "tRNA". Rfam says of the family: Transfer RNA (tRNA) molecules are approximately 80 nucleotides in length. Lineage: Duplodnaviria; Heunggongvirae; Uroviricota; Caudoviricetes. The record is from Rfam by way of RNAcentral.